This 497-nucleotide ribosomal RNA is filed under the name uncultured bacterium. Its description in RNAcentral is "partial 16S ribosomal RNA". It matches the Rfam family "Bacterial small subunit ribosomal RNA", at positions 28 to 507 of the family's 1533-position model. The record is from RNAcentral.
GAUGAACGCUGGCGGCGUGCCUAAUACAUGCAAGUCGAGCGAACAGACGAGGAGCUUGCUCCUUUGACGUUAGCGGCGGACGGGUGAGUAACACGUGGGUAACCUACCUAUAAGACUGGGAUAACUUCGGGAAACCGGAGCUAAUACCGGAUAAUAUUUCGAACCGCAUGGUUCGAUAGUGAAAGAUGGCUUUGCUAUCACUUAUAGAUGGACCUGCGCCGUAUUAGCUAGUUGGUAAGGUAACGGCUUACCAAGGCAACGAUACGUAGCCGACCUGAGAGGGUGAUCGGCCACACUGGAACUGAGACACGGUCCAGACUCCUAAGGGAGGCAGCAGUAGGGAAUCUUCCGCAAUGGGCGAAAGCCUGACGGAGCAACGCCGCGUGAGUGAUGAAGGUCUUCGGAUCGUAAAACUCUGUUAUUAGGGAAGAACAAACGUGUAAGUAACUGUGCACGUCUUGACGGUACCUAAUCAGAAAGCCACGGCUAACUACGUG